This 85-nucleotide transfer RNA is filed under the name Felis catus (domestic cat). It matches the Rfam family "tRNA". Rfam says of the family: Transfer RNA (tRNA) molecules are approximately 80 nucleotides in length. The record is from Rfam by way of RNAcentral. Lineage: Eukaryota; Metazoa; Chordata; Mammalia; Carnivora; Felidae. RNAcentral also lists the same sequence under 2 other names.
GCCUGGGUGGCUCAGUCAGUUAAGCGUCUGACUUUGGCUCAGGUCAUGAUCUCACAGUUCGUGGGUUUGAGCCCCACCUCAGGCU